This 77-nucleotide transfer RNA is filed under the name Thermaerobacter sp. RNAcentral describes it as "tRNA-Val". It matches the Rfam family "tRNA". Rfam says of the family: Transfer RNA (tRNA) molecules are approximately 80 nucleotides in length. Their secondary structure includes four short double-helical elements and three loops (D, anti-codon, and T loops). Further hydrogen bonds mediate the characteristic L-shaped molecular structure. tRNAs have two regions of fundamental functional importance: the anti-codon, which is responsible for specific mRNA codon recognition, and the 3' end, to which the tRNAs corresponding amino acid is attached (by aminoacyl-tRNA synthetases). tRNAs cope with the degeneracy of the genetic code in two manners: having more than one tRNA (with a specific anti-codon) for a particular amino acid; and 'wobble' base-pairing, i.e. permitting non-standard base-pairing at the 3rd anti-codon position. Lineage: Bacteria; Bacillati; Bacillota; Clostridia; Eubacteriales; Clostridiales Family XVII. Incertae Sedis. The record is from RNAcentral.
GGGUGGUUAGCUCAGGUGGUUAGAGCGCAUGCUUGACAUGCAUGAGGUCAGAGGUUCAAGUCCUCUACCGCCCACCA